AUGGAGUGGGAACAGCUCCGGGCACUGGUGAUACUCGGAGUUCUUUCCCUGGCCAGAGGCGACGCCCCUGAUGCCUCCAGUCCCUUCCAGUUCGGUGAGUGCGGGAACUGGGAGGGACUGGGAGGGUCCCCAAGGUGUCCCCAAAGUGUCCCCAGGUGUCCCCAGGUGUCCCCAAAGUGUCCCCAGGUGUCCCAAGGUGUCCCAGGUACCCCCAGGUGUCCCCAGGUGUCCCCAAAGUGUCCCCAGGUACCCCCAGGUGUCCCCCAGGUGUCCCCAAGGUGUCCCCAGGUACCCCCAGGUGUCCCCAGAGUGUCCCCAUCAUGUCCCCAGGUGUCCCCAAGGUGUCCCCAAGGUGUCCCCCAGGUACCCCCAGGUGUCCCCAGGUGUCCCCAGGUGUCCCCCAGGUACCCCCAGGUGUCCCCAGGUGUCCCCAGGUACCCCCAGCUGUCCCAGUGUCCCUGUCCCUGUCCCAGACUGGUGUCACCUGCGUGUCGGUGGCCUCACGGUGGCUGCGGUGCUGAGCGUGCUGGGGGUCGUCGUCCUGCUCAGUGGGAAGUGCAAGUGCCGGAGCAAGGCCAGGUGAGACCUUUGGGGACAUUCAGGGACAAUUUGGGGACAUCUGGGGACAUUUGGGGUCAUCAGGGGAUUUGGGGACGUUGGGGGAUGACAUCGGGGACACUUUUUGGGGGAUCUGGGGACGUUUUGGGGACCUUGGGGACACUGAGGGGGAUUUGGGGUUGGGGGAUUUGGGACAUUUGGGGGAUUUGGGGACACUUGGGGACAGUCUGGGGACACUGAGGUGUUCCCUCCCCUCCCCCACAGGUGCCGCCACCCCCCCCCGGAGCUGUCACCUCUGGCUGGGACAGGUGAGAGUCCCCUCCCCCCUGGGGACACCUUGGGGACACUUUGGAGACACUGCGGGACAGUGCCACCCCCUGAGUCCCCCUCUCUCCGCAGGAGCCUGAGCUGUCCCCAGGUGUCCCCAAAUGUCCCCAACAGGUGACACCGGAUGGGGGGGAGGGGUGGCGUUGAUGUCCCCGAAAUGUCCCCAAAUUGUCCCCAAAAUGUCCCCAAGAAAGGCAAUGAAUAAAAAUGGGUGAAAUAAAAACGGAUUUUUGUCACCGGGGGAGGGGACACGGGGACGGCGGGACAGCGGUGGCAUCAGGAGGGGACACAAGGGCUUGGGGACAUCGGGGCCAUGGUGGCCUUAGGGACAUUGGGACCAUGGUGGCCUUGGGGACAUCACUGGGCCAUGGUGGCACUGGGAGGGGACGCUGAGGUGAUGGUGGCCUUGGGGACAUCGGGGCUAUGGUGGCCUUGGGGACGUCGGGGCCAUGGUGGCACCAGGAGAGGACACUGAGGCCAUGGUGGCCUUGGGGACAUCGGGGCCAUGGUGGCCUUGGGGACAUCGGGGUGAUGGUGGCACCAGAAAGUGACACAAGGCCAAGGGUGACAUCGUGGUGGCAGUGGCUUUGGGGACGUUAGGUCAGUGGUGGCCUUGGGGACAUCGGGGCCAUGGUGGCACCGGGAGGUCAGUGGUGGCCUUGGGGACAUCGGGGCCAUGGUGGCACCGGGAGGGGACAUCAGGGUGACAGUGGCUUUGGGGACGUUGGGUCAGUGGUGGUCUUGGGAACAUCGGGUCAGUGGUGGCACCAGGAGGUGACACAAGCCCUUGGGGACAUUGGGUUGCCGGUGGCCUUGGGGACAUCGCGCGAGGGUGGCCCCAUGUCCCUGCUGGUGUCUGGUCGACAUCCCCACAUCCCUGCAGCUGCACGAGGCCGUGGUGGCACCGCCGUCCUCACGGUGUCCCCACAGUGUCCCCACCUUGUCCCCACGGUGUCCCUUCACGCCCCCAUCUCCACAACAUCGGGGUGGCCACCAUGCCCACAUCCCACCAGAUGUUACCACACGUCCCUCCAGAUGCCACCACAUGUUCCCCUGAUGUCCCCUGAUGUCCCCAUCUCCACGGUGGACUGGUGGCCACCAUCCUCGGCUGCCACCACGCGUCCCCUGAUGUCCCCGCGCCCUCAGGAACGCGAUGGCAGCUCUGGGCAUCCCCUCGGCGGCAGGCGGCCACC
Long non-coding RNA from Taeniopygia guttata (zebra finch), 2078 nucleotides. NCBI's taxonomy places the organism in Eukaryota, Metazoa, Chordata, Aves, Passeriformes, Estrildidae. The record is from Ensembl.